UGGGGGAUGAUGAGUUGCACUGAAUGGGACUUGUGGUGCUGUGCACUGUGGGCCCAACAGACCUGCUCUGGUGACAAAACUAUGUGCACAGGGGCCAGCUGACUCCA
Non-coding RNA from Pelobates cultripes (western spadefoot toad), 107 nucleotides. NCBI's taxonomy places the organism in Eukaryota, Metazoa, Chordata, Amphibia, Anura, Pelobatidae. The record is from the annotation of a GenBank genome assembly.